UACGAAGGGGGCUAGCGUUGCUCGGAAUCACUGGGCGUAAAGCGCACGUAGGCGGCUUUCUAAGUCAGGGGUGAAAUCCCGGAGCUCAACUCCGGAACUGCCUUUGAUACUGGAAAGCUUGAGUUCGGGAGGAGGUGAGUGGAACUGCGAGUGUAGAGGUGAAAUUCGUAGAAUAUUCGCAGAACACCAGUGGCGAAAGGCGGCUCACUGGCCCGAUACUGGACGCUGAGGUGCGAAAGCGUGGGGAGCAAACAGG
This 256-nucleotide ribosomal RNA is filed under the name uncultured bacterium. Its description in RNAcentral is "partial 16S ribosomal RNA". It matches the Rfam family "Bacterial small subunit ribosomal RNA", at positions 524 to 776 of the family's 1533-position model. The record is from RNAcentral.